Molecule: ribosomal RNA, 149 nt
Filed under: Klebsiella pneumoniae
Lineage: Bacteria; Pseudomonadati; Pseudomonadota; Gammaproteobacteria; Enterobacterales; Enterobacteriaceae
Also listed under: 1 other name
Description: partial 16S ribosomal RNA
Rfam family: Bacterial small subunit ribosomal RNA
Source: RNAcentral
ACUUAAAUUGAAGAGUUUGAUCAUGGCUCAGAUUGAACGCUGGCGGCAGGCCUAACACAUGCAAGUCGAGCGGUAGCACAGAGAGCUUGCUCUCGGGUGACGAGCGGCGGACGGGUGAGUAAUGUCUGGGAAACUGCCUGAUGGAGGGG